CUGGUUUCCUAUCACGCUUCCUGUGACUGAUGGGUUAGGUGAGAACGCGGCAGGCGCAUUAAAUGCCUCUGGUUCCCGUACCCGCGUCAGGCUGCGGGCGGCGUUCUUGCGCUCGAGGCCUUUCGAUUCGUACGAGCCUGUUUCCGUAUUCGACGAUAGCUGGCGCUCGAGCCCUAGUCGAUUCGCAUGACGCUCUUUCCGCGUUCAAGGCUACGGGCGUCGAUAACUGUGCGUGCGACCGGGGGGCGUCGAGUCGGGGGCCCUUGAUCUGCGUACGGGUGCUCUCGUCAUGUGCGUUAGUUAGGGUACCCCUUACUGAUACCCUCGACACUUGUGUCCUGAGAAGUAUGCAACCACUUACAUCCACCAUGUUCACUAUGUGCUACUUCUGUUUGUAGAAGUACCACCCACAUAUAUGCACUACACUUUGUGUUGUUUCUAUUCUAGAGACACGUACCUAUGCUGCUCCUACCCUGGGAGUACGCAUUCACCCAUACAUUCCACAUCCACUCAGAAAAUAUUCUACUCCACUAUGAGAAGACACCCAAAAAUAUUCAUUAUGUGUUAUUCUACUUUUCCAAUAAAGCUCUAGUUAUUUCAGUUGAUACUCCCUACUAUUAUCAGUGCAUUAAAAGGGUUGGCUGAUCUCUAAAAAAAGAGAGAAAAAGAAAAAAAGAGGACAAAAAGUCUCAAUGCAAAAGAAAAGAAAGAUAGCCAAGUCCUUGUUUUUAGAUUAAGGAGAUAUGUUAUCCCCAAGGAGCAAUUGUAGAAUUAGAUAUUCACUAUCAGUUAUCACCCCCCAUUAUCACUAUUUUUCUUAUCAUUCACUUCAUUCAUUGUACUCACAUGCACAUAUGACUUGAUUGUAUAAUUAGUUUCUCUGGAUGCAUAGUUUAACUAUGCAAUACAUGCAAGUAGGUUUGAGUUGUCUUUCCCACCAAUGAGCUCCACAUAAGCGAAUUAGAAGUAAGGUGAGAGAGAGAGAAGGCAACUAUGCCCUAGUGAUAUAAAUACCAUAUUCUAAGAGAAGGUAUGCUCACUUGCCUUGGAGAGGAUCCAAAAAUACCACAUAUGAGAGACUAGAACGGGUCAUACAAGGAAUCUCUGAAUUUUAUUUGAAAACCUUACAAAACUCUGGAAUAAUAGUUGAUCAAAGAGUGAGUAAUAUAGCGCUUGACUGAACUGUUAUUUCUUUAAACUACUCAAGAUCUAAGGAUAGCUAUAAGCCCC
Molecule: long non-coding RNA, 1230 nt
Filed under: Sorghum bicolor (sorghum)
Lineage: Eukaryota; Viridiplantae; Streptophyta; Magnoliopsida; Poales; Poaceae
Description: long non-coding RNA (SBIC_LNC016257)
Source: RNAcentral